RNAcentral lists this ribosomal RNA (292 nucleotides) under uncultured bacterium. RNAcentral describes it as "partial 16S ribosomal RNA". It matches the Rfam family "Bacterial small subunit ribosomal RNA", at positions 505 to 796 of the family's 1533-position model. The record is from RNAcentral.
GUGCCAGCAGCCGCGGUAAUACAGGGGGGGCAAGCGUUGUUCGGAAUUACUGGGCGUAAAGGGUCAGUAGGCGGCCAACUAAGUCCGACGUGAAAUCCCAAAGCUUAACUUUGGAACUGCGUCGGAUACUGGAUGGCUUGAAUUCGGGAGAGGGAUGCAGAAUUCCAGGUGUAGCGGUGAAAUGCGUAGAUAUCUGGAGGAAUACCGGUGGCGAAGGCGGCAUCCUGGACCGACAUUGACGCUGAACGACGAAAGCUAGGGGAGCAAACGGGAUUAGAAACCCCCGUAGUCC